Pecten maximus is the source of this 509-nucleotide long non-coding RNA. RefSeq lists it as uncharacterized. The record is from RefSeq and is a predicted model, not a curated record. NCBI's taxonomy places the organism in Eukaryota, Metazoa, Mollusca, Bivalvia, Pectinida, Pectinidae. The transcript has 2 exons.
GUAUAACCAGGUGUACAGGUGUACAUAUAUAUACGUAGUUGUUACCAGCUGUAUAACCAGGUGUACAGGUGUACAUAUAUAUACGUAGUUGUUACCAGCUGUAUAAUCCAGGUGUACACGACAUCCGCUGUCUUAGCGUCUCGGUCAAGGUCGUUACCAAUUUGAGCAUGGGUACUGCCAGUCAAUACAGGAAUGCGAAAUUAUCCCGGUGUACUUAUGAGGACUGAUGACACUUUGAACUGUUUAGUGAAGCACUUAGUCGACAAUGUUGAGUUUGGGUCAACAAGGGUAUCUUAUAUAAUUUAAUAUAACGUACAAUGUAUAUAUAAUAAUAAUAAAAAAAAAACAUAACAAAAAAAUGUAUAUAUAUAUAUAUAUAUAUAUUUAUAUCGAUAUUUUUUUCUGUUGGAAUGUGUAUAUUUAAAAAGCACUUGACACAAAACUUGUCACUACCGGAAUAAAUUAUCUUGAAAAUGUUCCAUUAACACAGCAAAUGAAAGUUCGACAUA